UGGGGAAUAUUGCACAAUGGGCGGAAGCCUGAUGCAGCGACGCCGCGUGGGGGAUGACGGCCUUCGGGUUGUAAACCUCUUUCAGUGCAGAACAAGGCUCUUUGUGGGUUGAGGGUAUGCGCAGAAGAAGCGCCGGCUAACUACGUGCCAGCAGCCGCGGUAAUACGUAGGGCGCGAGCGUUGUCCGGAUUUAUUGGGCGUAAAGAGCUCGUAGGCGGUUUGUCGCGUCUGCUGUGAAAUCCUCUGGCUUAACUGGGACGUGCAGUGGGUACGGGCAGACUGGAGUGCGGUAGGGGAGACUGGAAUUCCUGGUGUAGCGGUGGAAUGCGCAGAUAUCAGGAGGAACACCGGUGGCGAAGGCGGGUCUCUGGGCCGUUACUGACGCUGAGGAGCGAAAGCAUGGGGAGCGAACAG
This 414-nucleotide ribosomal RNA is filed under the name uncultured bacterium. RNAcentral describes it as "bacterial SSU rRNA". It matches the Rfam family "Bacterial small subunit ribosomal RNA", at positions 355 to 775 of the family's 1533-position model. The record is from RNAcentral.